AACAGUGUCAUAUAAAUUAAAUAUUACAAAUUUAAACAUAUAAUCUUUCAAUGCCCACGUUCCCACGUUCUAGAAAAAUGUCAUUAAUGCAUGAUUGCCUAUGAAAGAUUUUGGGUAAAAUGCAGUGUAAGGGGAAAGUUUAUAGACUUAUCUAACUUAAAGUAGGGGGAAAACAUCCUUUAGAAUGAAUGUCCCCUGAAAUAAUUUGCCUUACUACUUAGGGGUCUUUUCCUUGGCCUUGUUGGUUUCCUCUCACCAUCUAAUAUUGUCAUAAUUCCAAGAACUGGCAUUUAAAGUGG
RNAcentral lists this long non-coding RNA (299 nucleotides) under Pan troglodytes (chimpanzee). Its description in RNAcentral is "long non-coding RNA NONPTRT000381". The record is from RNAcentral. Lineage: Eukaryota; Metazoa; Chordata; Mammalia; Primates; Hominidae.